AGACCCGAAACCCGGUGAUCUAGCCAUGGGCAGGUUGAAGGUUGGGUAACACUAACUGGAGGACCGAACCGACUAAUGUUGAAAAAUUAGCGGAUGACCUGUGGCUGGGGGUGAAAGGCCAAUCAAACCGGGAGAUAGCUGGUUCUCCCCGAAAGCUAUUUAGGUAGCGCCUCGUGAAUUCAUCUCCGGGGGUAGAGCACUGUUUCGGCUAGGGGGCCAUCCCGGCUUACCAACCCGAUGCAAACUGCGAAUACCGGAGAAUGUUAUCACGGGAGACACACGGCGGGUGCUAACGUCCGUCGUGAAGAGGGAAACAACCCAGACCGCCAGCUAAGGUCCCAAAGUCAUGGUUAAGUGGGAAACGAUGUGGGAAGGCCCAGACAGCCAGGAUGUUGGCUUAGAAGCAGCCAUCAUUUAAAGAAAGCGUAAUAGCUCACUGGUCGAGUCGGCCUGCGCGGAAGAUGUAACGGGGCUAAACCAUGCACCGAAGCUGCGGCAGCGACGCUUAUGCGUUGUUGGGUAGGGGAGCGUUCUGUAAGCCUGUGAAGGUGGCCUGUGAGGGUUGCUGGAGGUAUCAGAAGUGCGAAUGCUGACAUAAGUAACGAUAAAGCGGGUGAAAAGCCCGCUCGCCGGAAGACCAAGGGUUCCUGUCCAACGUUAAUCGGGGCAGGGUGAGUCGACCCCUAAGGCGAGGCCGAAAGGCGUAGUCGAUGGGAAACGGGUUAAUAUUCCCGUACUUGGUGUUACUGCGAAGGGGGGACGGAGAAGGCUAUGUUGGCCGGGCGACGGUUGUCCCGGUUUAAGCGUGUAGGUGUGUGUUCCAGGUAAAUCCGGUU
This 836-nucleotide ribosomal RNA is filed under the name Salmonella enterica. RNAcentral's name for it is "partial 23S ribosomal RNA". It matches the Rfam family "Bacterial large subunit ribosomal RNA", at positions 711 to 1547 of the family's 2925-position model. The record is from RNAcentral. RNAcentral also lists the same sequence under 8 other names. Lineage: Bacteria; Pseudomonadati; Pseudomonadota; Gammaproteobacteria; Enterobacterales; Enterobacteriaceae.